UGGGUGCCAAGUCUCACCAUGGAGUCUUUC
RNAcentral lists this non-coding RNA (30 nucleotides) under Mus musculus (house mouse). Lineage: Eukaryota; Metazoa; Chordata; Mammalia; Rodentia; Muridae. The record is from RNAcentral.